RNAcentral lists this ribosomal RNA (497 nucleotides) under uncultured bacterium. Its description in RNAcentral is "partial 16S ribosomal RNA". It matches the Rfam family "Bacterial small subunit ribosomal RNA", at positions 28 to 507 of the family's 1533-position model. The record is from RNAcentral.
GAUGAACGCUGGCGGCGUGCCUAAUACAUGCAGGUCGAGCGAACAGAUAAGGAGCUUGCUCCUUUGACGUUAGCGGCGGACGGGUGAGUAACACGUGGAUAACCUACCUAUAAGACUGGGAUAACUUCGGGAAACCGGAGCUAAUACCGGAUAAUAUAUUGAACCGCAUGGUUCAAUAGUGAAAGGCGGCUUUGCUGUCACUUAUAGAUGGAUCCGCGCCGCAUUAGCUAGUUGGUAAGGUAACGGCUUACCAAGGCAACGAUGCGUAGCCGACCUGAGAGGGUGAUCGGCCACACUGGAACUGAGACACGGUCCAGACUCCUACGGGAGGCAGCAGUAGGGAAUCUUCCGCAAUGGGCGAAAGCCUGACGGAGCAACGCCGCGUGAGUGAUGAAGGUCUUCGGAUCGUAAAACUCUGUUAUCAGGGAAGAACAAAUGUGUAAGUAACUGUGCACAUCUUGACGGUACCUGAUCAGAAAGCCACGGCUAACUACGUG